CCGCAAUAUUUAUUUAUGGGAUGUCAUAUCUCUGACAGGAACCUUGGUUUUGGGAUCACGCUAAAUGCUGGGAUGAUUUUCCACAUCAGAAUCUCGAUGCUGCCAUUUACAUUCAUUUUGUUAUUGAAUCAGGAUAUUAUGCAUCACUUGUGAUUUCAGCACCGAAUGAUAUUAUAAGAAAGGAUAAGUUAUAACAUCGCCAUCACGAGCUUUUCCAUAAUAGGACCAUACAUAGC
This is a non-coding RNA of Styela clava, 236 nucleotides long. NCBI's taxonomy places the organism in Eukaryota, Metazoa, Chordata, Ascidiacea, Stolidobranchia, Styelidae. The record is from RefSeq and is a predicted model, not a curated record.